GGAAGUGGUAACCUCAGCUGUGCAUUUGCUUGAUGUUAAAAAAAGUCUGUGAAAGUUUGUGCAAACAAGUGUGAAGCUGAUGUUGUGGACUUCCUACUCACAAGUCGGUAACAAGAAAGUCAUACUUCUCAUUUCUGAGCAGCUGCAGACAUCUCUACAUGAUUUAUGUCUCACAUUUGUUCAUGUGUGUGCCUUUCCUGUACCUGUUCAUGCACACCAAGCAUGUCUGUAGCAUUCAUUAGCCAAGUGAAUGGAGAUUAGCCAGCAAGCUAGUGGCUUUAGUUCAUUGCUGCUGAUGUGGAAACCAUGAAGAUUUAACAGACACUACAGUGAGCUAACAAUACAUUCAAUCAUGACUGUGAGUUCACUGCAGCAAGCUGGAGACUUGGCCUGUCAGCCAUGUGCCUCACCUGCACCUCAGACUGUUUAAAGCUGCAGACACCAUUGAAGCUGGAACACCUACCUGCCACCUUCUUUUUCUCCUGAGGCCUAGAGACCCUGCAGAUUGGAUUCAAACUCUGGAAUAAGGAACAAGGAAAGUGGAUGAAGUUGGACGCUAGGAUAACAGUCUACCAAUUCCACCACUGAGUUUACCCGUCGUUGACGUGAUGGAGGGUGACAAGGGCGACCAUAAGGACUACACCUGGUAAUGAAGGAGUCGUGCUCUGUAAAGUCAUGCAUGAGCCUGUCUGAACUGGAACAGCACCCAGAGGGGACGAGAAUGAAACCAGCUCCUGAGGGGCUCCUGAUAGAUACUAGCAUCCCUAGAAGGGUCUGAGGCGGGAGGAUAUUGAUUCAUCACACAAAAACUGAACAUGUGUUAGUCUCUCUUCUACUGUGGUGUUGGAAUUCAAUAAAAAGGAGCCUUUCAUUAUAACGUUUUUUGAUGUUUAAUGCAUGUAAUUGACAAAAUGGACAAAAGCAAAGUGUAUAGAGUUCAAAGCAAUAUGCAGCAAAUUUUAUUUAGUGCAGAAAACACAGUACAGGGAGUGUUCUUGUGCAUUCUCACCUUAGCCACCUUGCUCUGAAAGUCCAACAACACAUCAUAGAUUGAAAUGUCAAAAAUACACUGAAUAGAGGGAAUUUAUAGCCUAAAACAUACAAAUAUGGAUUUCACAUGCCGUCACGUCAGGAACACAACAAAACGAACCACAAGAACGCAGGUAUCCACAUAAAUAGUAGGAACGGAAUCAAAUAAAAACAGCAAUAAAAGAAGCUUCAAUCGUCAUGGUGGAAGAAGUAGAAGAAGUAGAAGAAGAAGAAGAAGAAGUGAUGGUUGGUGUCGGGUUGUGGGAUGGGGCCCUGUUGAGCUUCCUGAUUGGCAGAUGCCUCCCUGAAUGAACGGUGGUCAGUGAUUGGCCACGUUAUGAAGGGGAAACCCACACCUUAAACGCCACAUUGUGAGCGUACAAUCAUUCCCCGCAUCUUGAACCCCACUUUGCAUGCUUUUUUUUUUUGUUUGUUUUUAUUUUUAACAGCAUGUUCAAUACAGCAGGAUGCUCUGGAUUUAUUCUCCUUCUGGGCUGCUUCACUGUUGUUUCACGGCACUACAGACGACGUAACAGAAGGGAUGCACAAGAAUAGAUUAUCUAAAUAUACAUGUUUUUUGUUCUCUAAAGUAUGGCUUUGAUGUCAUUUCUAGGCUGUAAAGCUGUGCCCAAAUAUCCGCUGUUGGCAUACCGCACCAAUUACUUUUCGCUACCAAGUACGUUGUAUUCUCGUCAAGCAUAAUAAGAAGUGGAUGGAGAUAAACAUAUACAGGCAGGGGGGGAUAUUAAGUUAGCAAGCAUGGAUUUAGAGGAACAUUGUACAGACGAUCUGGUAUGUACAAAGGAAACCCUGGCCGCUGUUGUCUGCCUUGACGUCAGGGCGGUUUUAAGGAAGGAUGUGGGGACUUCACUUAAGCCAUAUUGGACAAAACUAUACGCAGAUUUUCUCCAUUCAUGAUCACAGCAGUGAGACCGGCUUUUUAUCCCAUUCAUACCACGCUGUGUUCGCCGAAAACCAUCUUUUGUUUGCCUUCAGGGGGAAUGAAACGAGGUCAGGCUAACAAAGCAAAGCGGGAAACACACUAUCAACGAAGAAAGAAACAGAAACUGAGUCUACUGUCCUUGUUCGCUGUGAUGUGGUGAUGUUUACUACAAUGAGAGGCCUGGAAUGAGCUCAAACUAUGUCACUUAUUGGGGGAAGAAAGAAAAAAAACCCUGUAGUAAUGAUGUGAUAUGAUGAUUCGCACAACAUGCUGAGACGCCUUUCAGAUCUUGAACAUGCUGAUGUAGCAGCAGCUAACAACUGUGACUGUUAGCAAAGUGCAUCCACAUAAAUGGCUUAUUGACCGUUAAGUAGCUGCUGAAGAGAAGGAAGAGGUGGGCCAUUGGAUCAGUACUUUAAAGAUGUUGUGAUAUAGCAAAGAAAAAGUUAAAUCCCUGCUGAGCAGAAGUAAAAAAGUGGCACACAGAGAUCCAAACUUUAUAAAAGAAUCGACAACAUGCUAGUUUAUUCUUGGGAAUUCAAUCAGUUUAUCUUUAUUGGUUGAAUUUGUAUCAAACUCCUCUCUCCCCUUUAACUGAAGUAGGUCAGAGUGGCAUUGAGGAAUAAGGCGUUUCAUCUUUUGCCCUCUAAACAAGAUGAAAAAAGAAACAUGUUGUUGGAUGUCAUCGGAAACAUCACAGCGGUCUGUCAGAAUCAAAGCUUUCAGGUUCAGGGUCACCUUUAUCUAACAGGCCUCAAAUCCACAAGGCUUAUCGCAAGUCACAUUUCACAUUGAAACGACCGGCUUGCCAUUAUGUUCUUUGAGUUGUGUCUGUUGCCAGGCAACAUUAACCUUCUUUAGAUUCUGACAGGUAGCUAUUUCCAGCCUCCAGACACAAGACUCUGUUUUCAAUUACAUGGAUCUGAACAGGUCCAAACAGCAAUCUUAGAUCUUCCCUCAUAAUAUGAAGAGCAGUUUAUCCUCAUUGAUGUUACACAAUGGAGCAACUGCUUUCUUUAAUGUUUUCACAGUGUCUGAUUGUGAUACUGUUACAGAUUAACCAGGGGCCUCAUGUACAAAGACUUGAGUGGAUUUCCUACUGAAACAUGAAGUACGCUCAAAUCCAGAACAUACCAUACGCACAAAAAUAUCCAGAUGUAUGAAUCUGUGCGCAAAGAUCAACAGCUGGAGAAACGUGCGUAUGCCAGCCAUGAAGUUGGCGUUAGGCACCGCACAUUUCCACGGUCAUUUCACUCUUGAUACAUCUGAACUUUGCCGUGAAAAAGAGCGUACGCCUCGUUUUUGUGUGUACAUGAGGCCCCUGGUCUUGGUUGGUCCAUCCAUUUUUAAAAGUCCUGAAAACUUUGAAUCUAAUGCUUAAAAAACUCAAUACUUCUUUGUGAAAUCAUGUGUUUAUGAUUAAAUGAAGCAAACAACCAAAAACAGGUAUUUUUCACAGAGAAUAGAAACCUCAAAAACCCGGCUAACCAGCUUUCUCAGGACUGUUUGUUUGCUGUCGGAUUAGCUUUGACUCGUAACGACCAAAAAACCACCAGAUGUCAUCAAAUCCAUGGUCAAAUAUUCCUAAAUACUUAAAGGUGUAGUGCACUGAGCUCUACAAAGUUCACAACAAUCAAUGAGAUGAAAAAAAUGUCUCCCUUUUGGACUUGCUAGCUAGAACUAUGACUAGCUAGUUACGCUGCUAGCAUGUUUUAUGCUGGUUGGCUGCCUUCGGUGGUGGAUUCUUCUAUCUGUGUUCUGUCCAAAUUUCAGCAAGCCUUUUGAAAGCUUACGUACACAGAGCAAAUUAUACUAUCCAAAAUUGUGGAAGCAGUGUCUAGCAGUGUAGCUAACAGUUCAAGCCAGACUAGCACAACACAACAAAGAAGAAAACUUCGGAAAAUGUUGUAACUUUUCGAGGACAGAUUGCUCCAGUUUGUUAGAAACUAUAAAUAAAUAAAGUUACAAUGCUAGCUCUGAUUUCACCUCUUCUUAACGCGUACACAACCAACCUCCUCCACUGUUGCCACAAUUGUUGUCAGAAACUUUUGUUCAUCUGAUGUAACUUUUGACACUAAGUGGCGCCCUCUGGUGGAUGAAUUGUGUAACGUCCAUCCCGAGCCUUAGGUGACUGAAUAUCCAGGUAUGAAAGAGGGAGGUACAUAGAGUAAGUCGAACCCACACCUAUCUACACUGGAUACACCCACGCACAUUAGAGGUGAAUACUAGCUCUGCCUUUACUUGAGGUGUCAAGUGAAAACGCCUGCAGAGUCAAAUCCAGAUCACUUUGUAUCACCACAUGUCUGUCUGGUUAAUUGAAACACAUGUCAAAUUCAGCUACAGGAGAGAAAGGCAGUUUGAUAUCAAACUCAGGUGAUGUCAUCAACAGAUCACCUCCACACUGUGAAGGAAGGAGGAAACAGUCGGACUGAGACAGAAAAGAGCGAGCAGGCAGGAUGGUGGGUGGCAAGGCGGCUGGCUUGUGCUGGUUGCGCUUUUUUGCAGCAGCUUUCUGUCCUCGAAAUAGAAAAGAGGUUACAUUCCAAUAAUAAUUCUAGUAAUUAGUGAGAGUAUUAUUAAAGCAAUGGAGAGUACGUCUGGCUUUAUAGAAGCAGUUCAGUGUGCUACAUACAUCGAGUAGGGAGGGGGGGGAGAGGGGAAUGGAUGAAGCAGAAGUGUGUGUGCAUUUUUGUGUGUCAAUUGUCCCAAAAUAUGUACAAUUUGAGUAUAUUGUAGGCAUUCAUUUGUUCAGUGUGCAUCUUCUGUGGUAUCUUUUUCUCCUCUCUUUCUUUCCGUCUCCAUCCAACAGCUGCAGUGUCUCUCUGUCUAUCCGUCCGUCUGAUCUAAAGGUGACAGGGCUCAGGUUCACGGCUGGCAUCUGCUCAGAAUCAUUAUCAAGUGUUUAUUUAAGGCUGCGGAGGUUUGAGUUACCUACUGGGGCACCGCGCAACCCAACACCAAGCGCAAUUGAGAGCUCUCAGCCACGGUCAGACGCUGUGUAAAUGUCGUAAAUGCGACUCAAGGCGGAGAAGGAAUAUGAUGCCGGUUGUAUUGACAAGCAUAUACGUCAGUCUCUGAAGUGACUUUAAAGUCCGGGGUUUGACUGCCGGAGUUCAAACUAUUUUUAGGCGUGUAAAGAUAGUAGAAAGGUGCUGAGGCCAUGAGAUGAGGCGUGACAACAAUGUGCAGUGUUCAGUUUCAGUUUUGUUCUGUUGUCUGUUCAUAUGCUUUUGUGUUAUUCAAGAGCGACUCCUCGUGCUAGUUUUUAUGAAGCCUUUGCCUGAUUCAAAGAAAGGAAUAACACUAUUCAAGCUGUCAUUAAUAGUUUUAAUUCCCUUAAGAAUGAAACAAUCAUUACUCUCAGUUAUACAUGUCUUUGUUGUGAUGGAGAAAGCUCAAUUAUGUCAUAUAACGCAACUGAGCAAACUCAAAUCGAAGACAAUUACUUGGAUUUUCCCCCAAAAUGCAUCACAUUAGCUUACUAGUUGAAAAUAUGAUCAAAAGUAGAGGAGUAAGUAACAGCAAAUCACAUUGGAACACAUUUACAGGCUUUUCAUAAGCUAGAGACGACCAAGAGUCACCCAGAGCUAACCCAUACGGUAGCCAAGUUGUUUAGCUAGCUAGCUAACGCCAAAAAAAACAAGUGACGACCAUUUCAAUAGCAAAAAUGUAGGGUUAAAAACUUGGAAUGAGAAGCCUGAAUAAGUCUGGAGCUAGCUAAGAAAAGAAAUACCACUUAUCUACCCAUAAAAUGGUGUAGCAUUAGCCUAAUGGUUGAAAAUCUCAUCAACAUAGAGGCCAACAAGGUUAUGUAACAAUGAAAUACAUACUACAUGAAUUUCUUCAGAUUACUUUAAUGCUAAAUGGUGUAUUUGUGGCCUGUAGGUGAAUAUUUAACAUCUUAACACCUUAGCUUUCAUUAGCUAGGAAGGACAAAGGACCAGCCAGAGGUAACUUGCAAGCUAGCAAGUGAUUUAGCUAGCUAGCUAACACUGAACAAUUAAAGCGUCCUUUUUUGAGUGAGAGCUGAGCUAGAGUUUAAACCUAGCAUACAACAAACAUUUGAAUGUGGGAGAAAUUUUGUUCUUAAAAAAAUGGUGUCUGCACACAUUAGCCUUGACAAUUUAAUGAAGAAUAGGACCAAAUGUAGUUAUGUCACAUCAAAAUAGAAAAACACAUCCGUAUACUUGCUAAACAAAUUACCAUCUAGAGGUGAUUGUAAGCUAGCAAUGUUAUUAAGCUAGUAAGCUAACGUUAAAAUCAAGUGACAGCCAAUCUAAAGGUGGAGGGUCACUUGCUUGGAAUGAGAAGCCUGCCUUAGUCUAAAUUUAGACAACACUAGUGACCCUUCCCCCCCCAAAUAUUUAGAGUAUGUCAAAGGGAGCUAGCAUAGCAACAUCCGCCUAACAAGGGGUCAGUACUUAACGAGCAGUCGACACUCAGGGGCCCCAGAUGACUCCACCAAGGUCACACUGGCACACAAAAGAGUCAGUUUACAAUCAAGAUGUGAGAAAGACAAUGUUAUCUGGCUUUACCUGGCUUGUCCUCCCCGCUGUGGUUAUCUUAAUCAAAUUAAAAGAACCAGUAAGAAUUAUUUAUCACCACGCUUUGUCAUUGGACUAUCAGUGACAGAGGCUGCGCGGUGUUUUAUGUAGGUAUGAAUGUUUGAAUGAUUUUCCACCAGGCUGUCCAGCCCUCAUUGAUAUUAAACAGCAUCAGAUAUCACAGAGUGACCGCGAGGAGAUGCAGACGCUGUAGACACAUAAACACCUGAUGAUCGCUAAUGUGUCAAUCACUGGCUGUAAUGGUUCGGAGCAGUGUUAACGGCUCAUGCGAGCAUGCAGUGUGUCUGCUUUCCAUCACAUAUUGAUCCCGCCUGCAGCAAAUUGCCUCUGACCGUUGCGAGUUAGCAGCCAGUUUCCAUGACCACCACCUCCGUCACCUGUGAGAUCAGGCUGGCAGAGGCGAUCCAAUAUCUGGCCUACAUGGGAGGCAAUACGGAGGUGAUUUUACACCUGAGACUGUUACUUGGUGUUAUAUUCAACCUUGCAGAGAGACAGAGAGACAGAAUGAAAGAAAUCUUGUGAUGCUGAAGGAGGCGGAAAGAAAAGAACCCAGAAACUAGAGAGUGUGCUUCUCUUCUUUUUUUUGUGCGUUCUUGUUUCAUCUGCGUUGAAGGACGUGUGCUUGUUCUGUCAGUCAGCAGAGAGAAGCUGUGUUUUAAGCACAACUUCUGUCUGCGUGUGUGCUGGGCUUUGUGUUGCAUCUGCGGGAGUAGCAAGGACAUAGGAUGGGAUGCAUGUUCCGAGGGGAUCGAGGGACACACGGGUGAUAUGACGGGAUAUUUGCGAAGGUUAAUUUUGGUAACGGGAGGUUACAGUAUUUCGUCAUGCUAGAAUAUAAAUUCCAAAUCUCCACCUUUGUCUUUCUUUUUCCUCUUUCUUGCCCCUUCCAACUUCCUCAUCCUUGAUAUCAGUCGAUCUUUCAUGCAAAAAGGCGU
This is a long non-coding RNA of Notolabrus celidotus (New Zealand spotty), 7472 nucleotides long. RefSeq lists it as uncharacterized. The transcript has 3 exons. NCBI's taxonomy places the organism in Eukaryota, Metazoa, Chordata, Actinopteri, Labriformes, Labridae. The record is from RefSeq and is a predicted model, not a curated record.